This 128-nucleotide ribosomal RNA is filed under the name uncultured eukaryote. RNAcentral's name for it is "partial small subunit ribosomal RNA". It matches the Rfam family "Eukaryotic small subunit ribosomal RNA", at positions 1651 to 1796 of the family's 1831-position model. The record is from RNAcentral.
CCCUGCCAUUUGUACACACCGCCCGUCGCUCCUACCGAUUUCGAAUGGUCCGGUGAACCUUCUGGAGUGCUCGCAAGAGCGCGAAGUUAAGUAAACCUUAUCAUUUAGAGGAAGGAGAAGUCGUAACA